AGACGGGUGAGUAACACGUAUCCAACCUUUCCCUUACUCGGGUAUAGCCUCGGGAAACUGAGAGUAAUCCCGAUGUUGUGUACGAAUAGCAUUUUUUGCACACUAAAGAUUUAUCGGUAAGGGGUGGGGAUGCGUUCCAUUAGGUAGUAGGCGGGGCAACGGCCACCUAGCCGAUGAUGGAUAGGGGUUCUGAGAGGAAGGUCCCCCACCAUUGGAACUGCGACACGGUCCAAACUCCUACGGGAGGCAGCAGUGAGGAAUAUUGGGUCAAUGGUCGGAAGACUGAACCAGCCAAGUAGCGUGCAAGGAUGACGGCCCUAUGGGUUGUAAAACUGCUUUUGUGCGGGAAUAACGUACGCCACGUGUGGUGUAGUGCAUGUACCGUACGAAUAAGGAUCGGCUAACUCCGUGCCAGCAGCGGC
Molecule: ribosomal RNA, 422 nt
Filed under: uncultured bacterium
Lineage: Bacteria
Description: bacterial SSU rRNA
Rfam family: Bacterial small subunit ribosomal RNA
Source: RNAcentral